Molecule: ribosomal RNA, 481 nt
Filed under: uncultured bacterium
Lineage: Bacteria
Description: partial 16S ribosomal RNA
Rfam family: Bacterial small subunit ribosomal RNA
Source: RNAcentral
AUUGAACGCUGGCGGCAUGCCUUACACAUGCAAGUCGAACGGUAACAGGUCUUCGGAUGCUGACGAGUGGCGAACGGGUGAGUAAUACAUCGGAACGUGCCCGAUCGUGGGGGAUAACGAGGCGAAAGCUUUGCUAAUACCGCAUACGAUCUACGGAUGAAAGCGGGGGAUCUUCGGACCUCGCGCGGACGGAGCGGCCGAUGGCAGAUUAGGUAGUUGGUGGGAUAAAAGCUUACCAAGCCGACGAUCUGUAGCUGGUCUGAGAGGAUGAUCAGCCACACUGGGACUGAGACACGGCCCAGACUCCUACGGGAGGCAGCAGUGGGGAAUUUUGGACAAUGGGCGAAAGCCUGAUCCAGCCAUGCCGCGUGCAGGAUGAAGGCCUUCGGGUUGUAAACUGCUUUUGUACGGAACGAAAAGCCUCUUUCUAAUAAAGAGGGGUCAUGACGGUACCGUAAGAAUAAGCACCGGCUAACUACGA